This 1528-nucleotide small RNA is filed under the name Pongo abelii (Sumatran orangutan). Its description in RNAcentral is "retained intron". Lineage: Eukaryota; Metazoa; Chordata; Mammalia; Primates; Hominidae. The record is from RNAcentral.
AUUCUAUGGUAUUUCAUGAAAAAUAAAAAGGUUGAUUUGAUCUCAAUUUUUUUUUAUAUUGAGGACUAGUACUAUGGUCUGUUGAGAAAUAUUAUAAACUUUUCUUUAGGGAAGGUCUAAAAAUAGAACAAAAUCUUAUUAGCCUAGAAGAAUUUUAGCAUGGUUCUGUUAUAAGGCAAGUGAAUGAAGGAAAAGUAGCUUCUGGGCCAUUGUAAUCAAGUGUUUUGUCUGCUUUUUAAAAGACCAGUCAUUAAUUGCUUAGGCGUGGGUUCUAAAUCAGAAGAUGUCAGAAAGUGAGCUCUCAGGAUUUGCGUUCAGCUGCAAAUAUUGCAGCAAUAUUGGGUCAGCAGCAAAUAUUGCAAUGUGAAUGAAUCUUCCAUAAGUUUACACGAAAAUUUUAACUUCUGAACUACUGUAAUUACCUCAUAACUUAUAUACAGUUCAAAUCACCAAAAUAAAUGAAGGCAAGGUAUUCUCAUGCAUUGUAAGAGUUUAGUUAUGUUUACAUUAUCACACAAAGAUUAUUUUUUGUUUUUAUUCGGCAGCCUCCACCUCAGAUAUAUGACAAGCAGUUGGAUGAAAGAGAACACACAAUCGAUGAAUGGAAAGAACUUAUCUACAAGGAAGUAAUGAACUCAGAAGAAAAGACUAAAAAUGGCGUAGUAAAAGGACAGCCUUCUCCUUCAGGUGCAGCAGUGAACAGCAGUGAGAGUCUCCCUCCAUCCUCGUCUGUCAAUGACAUCUCCUCCAUGUCCACCGACCAGACCCUGGCAUCUGACACUGACAGCAGCCUGGAAGCCUCGGCAGGACCCCUGGGUUGUUGCAGGUGACUAGCCGCCUGCCUGCGAAACCCAGCGUUCUUCAGGAGAUGAUGUGAUGGAACACACACACACACGCAGACACUCACGCACACACACAAUUGCAGACACACAACAUCAAGAAAACAGCAAGGGAGAGAAUCCAAGCCUAAAAUUAAAUAAAUCUUUCAGCCUGCUUCUUCCCCAGGGUUCUGUAUUGCAGCUAAGCUCAAAUGUAUAUUUAACUUCUAGUUGCUCUUGCUUUGGUCUUCUUCCAAUGACGCUUACUACAGAAAGCAAAUCAGACACAAUUAGAGAAGCCUUUUCCAUAAAGUGUAAUUUUAAUGGCUGCAAAACCGGCAACCUGUAACUGCCCUUUUAAAUGGCAUGACAAGGUGUGCAGUGGCCCCAUCCAGCAUGUGUGUGUCUCUAUCUUGCAUCUACCUGCUCCUUGGCCUAGUCAGAUGGAUGUAGAUACAGAUCCGCAUGUGUCUGUAUUCAUACAGCACUACUUACUUAGAGAUGCUACUGUCAGUGUCCUCAGGGCUCUACCAAGACAUCAUGCACUGGGGUACCACAUGGUCCAUUUCAUGUGAUCUAUUACUCUGACAUAAACCCAUCUGUAAUAUAUUGCCAGUAUAUAAGCUGUUUAGUUUGUUAAUUGAUUAAACUGUAUGUCUUAUAAGAAAACAUGUAAAGGGGGAAUAUACGGGGGGAGUGAGCUCUCUCAG